GGUGCAUGGUUGUCGUCAGCUCGUGUCGUGAGAUGUUGGUUAAGUCCCGCAACGAGCGCAACCCUCGACCUUAGUUGCCAGCAUUCAGUUGGGCACUCUAAGGUGACUGCCGGCUAAAAGUCGGAGAAAGGUGGGGAUGACGUCAAAUCAUCAUGCCCCUUAUGACCUGGGCUACACACGUGCUACAAUGGGCGGUACAAAGGGUCGCGAACCCGCGAGGGGGAGCCAAUCCCAAAAAGCCGCUCUCAGUUCGGAUUGCAGGCUGCAACUCGCCUGCAUGAAGCCGGAAUCGCUAGUAAUCGCGGAUCAGCAUGCCGCGGUGAAUACGUUCCCGGGCCUU
RNAcentral lists this ribosomal RNA (340 nucleotides) under uncultured Anoxybacillus sp. Its description in RNAcentral is "bacterial SSU rRNA". It matches the Rfam family "Bacterial small subunit ribosomal RNA", at positions 1040 to 1382 of the family's 1533-position model. Lineage: Bacteria; Bacillati; Bacillota; Bacilli; Caryophanales; Anoxybacillaceae. The record is from RNAcentral.